Molecule: long non-coding RNA, 968 nt
Filed under: Monodelphis domestica (gray short-tailed opossum)
Lineage: Eukaryota; Metazoa; Chordata; Mammalia; Didelphimorphia; Didelphidae
Description: lncRNA (ENSMODG00000044720.1)
Source: RNAcentral
AUCGAAGGUAAUGGACUUCUGCAUUAGUGGCAAUACAGUGAUCCUGAACACCUAGGAGGAAUUUAUGAGAAAAACCACUAUCCACACCCAGAGGAAACAGUGUGGGAGUAAAAAUACCAAAGAAAAACAACUGCUUGAAUACAUGGGUCUUAGGGAUAUGGUUGGGGAUGUAGACUCUAAAUGAACAUCCUAGUGUAAACAACAUGAAAAAUGGGUUCUGAUCAAGGACACAUGUAAUACCCAAUGAAAGUGUGUGUUGGUUGUGGGAAGAGUGGGAGGAGGGGAGAGAGGGAAAUAAUGUGAUUAUUAUAACCAAGGAAUAAUGUUCUAAAUUGACUAAACUCCUUCAAAUGAAAAAAUAAGGAAACUGAGUCUGAAAGAGUUUAAUAAGGAAGAGAAGCAGAGGCAUAGGUGAGAGAAUAGCAAUAAACCAGGGAUGAGGGGAUCCCUGGUGACAAAGAGGACACUGGAUUCUCUCUGUGGUCAAGGAGAGAUGGCAGUGAGAGGGGUAAAUUCACUCAGUUACCCAACUUCCUCUUAGGAGAGUACAGUGUCAAGGGUGACAAGCCUCACCUGGCUAAGAGUGAGGUUUGUUUGGGCCCAAUUGUCAUAGCAACAAGGGAAUGUUUGGUAACAGAGCCAGUGACUUCACAGAAGCUGGAUUUAAUUCCACAUUUCUGAAGCUCAGGGAAGAGCAGAGCCAGCCAGGGGAGAAUGUGGAGGCAGAAGAAGACAAUAGUUGCCUUGGAAGAGCUGUGACUACUAGAAAAGUACUGUCCUGGCUAGCUGAUGGCUGUCCUUGCAGGAGCUUGGCCUCUGGCCAAGCUCCAUCUUUAAUCUUUCUCUAUUCACCUCUCUGACCUGUGUGGUAUGGAUCUCUGGACUGGAAAAGCCUACAGAAUGGUACUUUGAUCAGAGCUUAGCUGUGGCUCAUUGAUAAUUAAUAAAGACUCAUUCUGACCACCUCA